AGAGUUUGAUCCUGGCUCAGGAUGAACGCUAGCGACAGGCUUAACACAUGCAAGUCGAGGGGCAGCGGGGGCGUAGCAAUAUGCCUGCCGGCGACCGGCGCACGGGUGAGUAACACGUAUGUCACCUGCCCUAUGCAGGGGGAUAACCCGGAGAAAUCCGGCCUAAUACCGCGUAACACCUUAGGAGGAGCAUUCUCUUGAGGUUAAAGGAGAGAUCCGGCAUUGGAUGGACAUGGGUCGCAUUAGGUAGACGGCGGGGUAACGGCCCACCGUGCCGACGAUGCGUAGGGGUUCUGAGAGGAAGGCCCCCCACACUGGUACUGAGACACGGACCAGACUCCUACGGGAGGCAGCAGUGAGGAAUAUUGGUCAAUGGCCGAGAGGCUGAACCAGCCAAGUCGCGUGAGGGAAGAAUGUCCUAGGAUUGUAAACCUCUUUUGUCGGGGAGCAAAAAGGCUCUGCGGAGUCGUAUUGAGAGUACCCGAAGAAAAAGCAUCGGCUAACUCCGUGCCAGCAGCCGCGGUAAUACGGAGGAUGCGAGCGUUAUCCGGAUUUAUUGGGUUUAAAGGGUGCGCAGGCGGCGUGUCAAGCAAGCGGUAAAAUAGCGGGGCUCAACCCCGUCGAGCCGUUUGAACUGGCGCGCUUGAGUUCAGGCGAGGUAGGCGGAAUUCGUGGUGUAGCGGUGAAAUGCAUAGAUAUCACGAAGAACUCCGAUUGCGAAGGCAGCUUACCAGUCUGCGACUGACGCUCAGGCACGAAAGUGUGGGUAUCGAACAGGAUUAGAUACCCUGGUAGUCCACACAGUAAACGAUGAGCGCUAGGUGUCCGGGUCGCAUGAGACUUGGGUGCCCGAGCGAAAGCGUUAAGCGCUCCACCUGGGGAGUACGCCGGCAACGGUGAAACUCAAAGGAAUUGACGGGGGCCCGCACAAGCGGAGGAACAUGUGGUUUAAUUCGAUGAUACGCGAGGAACCUUACCCGGGCUCAAACGACUCAGGAAUAUAUUGGAAACGAUGUAGCCAGCAAUGGUCUGAGUCGAGGUGCUGCAUGGUUGUCGUCAGCUCGUGCCGUGAGGUGUCGGCUUAAGUGCCAUAACGAGCGCAACCCCUACCGCCAGUUGCCAACGGGUAAAGCCGGGAACUCUGGCGGGACUGCCGGCGCAAGCUGUGAGGAAGGCGGGGAUGACGUCAAAUCAGCACGGCCCUUACGUCCGGGGCGACACACGUGUUACAAUGGCAGGUACAGCGGGAAGCCACCUGGUGACAGGGAGCGGAACCCGAAAGCCUGUCUCAGUUCGGAUUGGAGUCUGCAACUCGACUCCAUGAAGCUGGAUUCGCUAGUAAUCGCGCAUCAGCCAUGGCGCGGUGAAUACGUUCCCGGGCCUUGCACACACCGCCCGUCA
Molecule: ribosomal RNA, 1401 nt
Filed under: uncultured bacterium
Lineage: Bacteria
Description: 16S ribosomal RNA
Rfam family: Bacterial small subunit ribosomal RNA
Source: RNAcentral